RNAcentral lists this ribosomal RNA (1398 nucleotides) under uncultured bacterium. Its description in RNAcentral is "16S ribosomal RNA". It matches the Rfam family "Bacterial small subunit ribosomal RNA". The record is from RNAcentral.
AGAGUUUGAUCCUGGCUCAGGAUGAACGCUAGCGGCAGGCUUAACACAUGCAAGUCGAGGGGCAUCGGGAGGGAAGCUUGCUUUCCUUGCCGGCGACCGGCGCACGGGUGAGUAACACGUAUGCAACCUGCCCUCUUCAGGGGGACAACCUUCCGAAAGGGAGGCUAAUCCCGCGUAUAUCGGUUUCGGGCAUCCGAGAUCGAGGAAAGAUUCAUCGGAAGAGGAUGGGCAUGCGGCGCAUUAGCUAGACGGCGGGGUAACGGCCCACCGUGGCGACGAUGCGUAGGGGUUCUGAGAGGAAGGUCCCCCACACUGGUACUGAGACACGGACCAGACUCCUACGGGAGGCAGCAGUGAGGAAUAUUGGUCAAUGGGAGAGAUCCUGAACCAGCCAAGCCGCGUGAGGGAAGACGGCCCUAUGGGUUGUAAACCUCUUUUGUCGGAGAACAAAACCCGGGACGAGUCCCGGACUGCGUGUAUCCGAAGAAAAAGCAUCGGCUAACUCCGUGCCAGCAGCCGCGGUAAUACGGAGGAUGCGAGCGUUAUCCGGAUUUAUUGGGUUUAAAGGGUGCGUAGGCGGUCCGUUAAGUCAGCGGUAAAAUUGCGGGGCUCAACCCCGUCGAGCCGUUGAAACUGGCAGACUUGAGUUGGCGAGAAGUACGCGGAAUGCGCGGUGUAGCGGUGAAAUGCAUAGAUAUCGCGCAGAACUCCGAUUGCGAAGGCAGCGUACCGGCGCCACACUGACGCUGAGGCACGAAAGCGUGGGGAUCGAACAGGAUUAGAUACCCUGGUAGUCCACGCAGUAAACGAUGAAUGCUGGUUGUCCGGGUCGAAUGAGACCUGGGCGGCGAAGCGAAAGCGAUAAGCAUUCCACCUGGGGAGUACGCCGGCAACGGUGAAACUCAAAGGAAUUGACGGGGGCCCGCACAAGCGGAGGAACAUGUGGUUUAAUUUGAUGAUACGCGAGGAACCUUACCCGGGCUCAAACGGGAGUGGAAUGGACCAGAGACGGUUCAGCCUACGGGCCGCUUCCGAGGUGCUGCAUGGUUGUCGUCAGCUCGUGCCGUGAGGUGUCGGCUUAAGUGCCAUAACGAGCGCAACCCCCGCCGGCAGUUGCUAACGGGCAAUGCCGAGGACUCUGCCGGGACUGCCGCCGCAAGGCGUGAGGAAGGCGGGGAUGACGUCAAAUCAGCACGGCCCUUACGUCCGGGGCGACACACGUGUUACAAUGGGCGGUACAGCGGGAAGCCAGGCGGCGACGCCGAGCGGAACCCGAAAGCCGUUCUCAGUUCGGAUCGGAGUCUGCAACCCGACUCCGUGAAGCUGGAUUCGCUAGUAAUCGCGCAUCAGCCAUGGCGCGGUGAAUACGUUCCCGGGCCUUGCACACACCGCCCGUCA